Molecule: microRNA precursor, 275 nt
Filed under: Oryza sativa Indica Group (long-grained rice)
Lineage: Eukaryota; Viridiplantae; Streptophyta; Magnoliopsida; Poales; Poaceae
Description: MIR821 microRNA precursor family
Rfam family: MIR821 microRNA precursor family
Source: Rfam by way of RNAcentral
GAUUUCAAUUGAAAAAGUCAUCAACAACAAAGUUGAAUAACUCAUCAAGAUCUAAAACUUUUAUUUUUGUUAUUUCUUCAUCCGACGAAAUGUUAGUAAUAUUAUUCACAAAUUUUACAUAUAUGUGUUAUAGUUUAUAAAACUAGAUAAGAGAUAUGUCAAUUUUGUGAACAAUGUUACUAUCACUUUGUCGUAUGAAGAAAUGACCAAAAUAAAAGUUUUAGAUCUUGAUGAGUUAUUCAACUUUGUUGUUGAUGACUUUUUCAGUUGAUAUC